UGAGUAGGGCGGGACACGUGGUAUCCUGUCUGAAUAUGGGGGGCCCAUCCUCCAAGGCUAAAUACUCCUGACUGACCGAUAGUGAACCAGUACCGUGAGGGAAAGGCGAAAAGAACCCCGGCGAGGGGAGUGAAAAAGAACCUGAAACCGUGUACGUACAAGCAGUGGGAGCACGCUUAGGCGUGUGACUGCGUACCUUUUGUAUAAUGGGUCAGCGACUUAUAUUCUGUAGCAAGGUUAACCGAAUAGGGGAGCCGAAGGGAAACCGAGUCUUAACUGGGCGUUAAGUUGCAGGGUAUAGACCCGAAACCCGGUGAUCUAGCCAUGGGCAGGUUGAAGGUUGGGUAACACUAACUGGAGGACCGAACCGACUAAUGUUGAAAAAUUAGCGGAUGACUUGUGGCUGGGGGUGAAAGGCCAAUCAAACCGGGAGAUAGCUGGUUCUCCCCGAAAGCUAUUUAGGUAGCGCCUCGUGAAUUCAUCUCCGGGGGUAGAGCACUGUUUCGGCA
This 509-nucleotide ribosomal RNA is filed under the name Shigella sonnei. RNAcentral describes it as "partial 23S ribosomal RNA". It matches the Rfam family "Bacterial large subunit ribosomal RNA", at positions 409 to 920 of the family's 2925-position model. Lineage: Bacteria; Pseudomonadati; Pseudomonadota; Gammaproteobacteria; Enterobacterales; Enterobacteriaceae. The record is from RNAcentral.